RNAcentral lists this long non-coding RNA (7324 nucleotides) under Equus caballus (horse). RNAcentral describes it as "lncRNA (ENSECAG00000050988.1)". The record is from RNAcentral. Lineage: Eukaryota; Metazoa; Chordata; Mammalia; Perissodactyla; Equidae.
GGAUGGCAGGCUAGGAGAUGGGUUUUAGAUUAACACAGCACUGCACAAAUUGGCACUUUUGUAAUAUUCGUCCUCUUAAACAUUGCUUUUUCUCUAAGGAAUUGUGUCCUUUCUUGGCCUUUGCACAGAGAGGUGGUGGGUGGUUGUAUCAGUCGGGGUUCUCCAGAGAAAAAAAACCAAUGGGAUAUGUAUAGAGAGAGGCAAGAUCUAUUUAAGCUCACAGUUGUGAGGGCCAACAAGUCCCAAAUCUGUAGGGCAGGCCAGCAGACUGAAAACUCAGACAGGAUUUCUAUCUUGCAGUUUUGAAGCCGAAUUCCUUCUUCAGGAAACCUGUUUUUGCCCUUAAGACCUUCAACUAAUUGUAUUAGGCCCACACUGAGGGCAGGCUGCUUUCCUUAGAGUCAGUUUGUUGUGGGUGUCAGUCACAUCUACAACAUACCUUCCCCCCAACAUCUAGACUAGUGUUUGGCCCAACAGCUGGGUGCCAUAGCCCGGCCCAGUGGAUCCAUGAAAGUCACGACCACAGCGGUCUUCAUCUCAAGCAUGGAAACUGGGCCAGAGAAGGACAAACUGAGGCAGAAACUUGUCUCCACAGCCCAGAACAACGCUGGACAUCUCUGGGGCGUGUUGGACCAGGUACUGAUGCAGCUGGAGACACAGACUUAGGCUGGGGGCCAAGAAGCCCUUCCUGGCUGGAGUUUCCAACAGCGGGACUGGCCGUGGGACGCCGUGGGUUCAUGGUCCUUGGAGGUGAGGCACCAGAGCUGUGCAGGAGAUUCCAGCUUUUGCUGAGAAGGAGGCCAGGGACCAGGAUGAAGCCCCCCACCUCUCAGCCCAGAAGGUCUGUAACUUCUGAUAAGCCUAGAUACUAGAAAUGGUGCUCAGAAAAGUCCCUGCUCCCUCCUCCUCUCCGCACCCCUCCCCCAGCCCCAAGUGAGGCAUUACAGGCCAGCUGAACACGCACCUCCCUGAAAUGGAAACCGUCUGUGAGCCUUUCUCGCCCGUCCUCCCCCAGCCCCCUCCCCGCCCAGCCUCGCCUGGGUACUCUUUCUGGGAGGGGAGCCUGUGCCUCAGCCUCUUUUCACACCCCACCUCAUCCUCCACACCCAGCCCAGCAAAGCCUAGGGGCCCAAGGGAUCCACCAUCAUCCUGGACAAGUCAUGGGUCACCAGCCGCCUCUCUUCUGUGCCUACACCCGUUAAUCAUCUUUUCCUGGUGAUUUGCAUGGCAACCUCUUUCACUUGGCCGCUCAGGGGAGUUUGCUGGUUUCAUCGCCUCAAUACCCUUGGCCUCCUGGGUCACUCUGGAUUUCCCUGCCUCCCCUCAACAACCUGGCUCGGAGGCCUGCCUGUCUGUGCUCCAGGAGGUCCUCGUCUUUUCACAAGCCUUCCCUUCCCUUCAUGGACGCAGCACCAUCUUGCCAGGUGUGGGGAGAUGCUGGCCGUGGCGGGAACCUUGAAGUUCUGCGGAAUGUCAAAGCUCAAAGGGCCUAAAGGAUUGUCUAGUCCACCCUGGUCCCCCAGCUUCACCCUAUUUCACAGAUGAGGAAACUGAGGCCAAAACAGUGACAAGUCUUUCUCAUGGUCACACGUCAAGUCAGAGGCAGAGCCAGGCCUAGGCCUUGGGGGCCCUCCCCCUCGGGCCCCUCUGUCUCCCUCUGCCACACUUUGUCAACAGUUUCUCUGAGACCUUCAACAGCUUAGGAGUGAGUGGAAAAUGUGUUUAGUGUUUGAAAAUCGAGUCUUGACCACCUCGUUCCCUUCAGGCACCCUCCGCUCAGAUGGCAGCUACUUGCAAGAAGCUCUGGGCACAGCCAUGAGCUGGGCUGUGGCCUGGCAGCCAGAAGGCCAGACAGACAAGAGGCCUCCCUCCCGGCCAGGAGCCCUUUUAGCCCAGUCACCUGGCACCUCCAAAGUAACACCUCUCCACAGAGUCAUCACAAGGAGCCAGGGAGCAAAUAACACGAAAAUACAGGAACCAGACCUGGGCAGGAAGGAAGUGGGGAGCAGCGACGAUCCAGGGAACAGGAGAAGACACCUGAACAUCUCCAGUUCCUGGGUCAUCAGGCCGACGCACGUCCCGACACUUGCUGUACAAUAUUGUCUCGACAUUCCCCCAACAAAGAAACUGUCAAGAUCAGAAAGUUGCCAUUCUACAACUUGGAGGACCUUCAGAAAUUAUCAAGUCUAUAACCCUCUAUGGUACAUGUGGGGAAACUGAGGCCCAGAGAAAGCCCCAGAUCCCUUAGUGAGAUAGGGGCAGAGCCAGGCCUGGCACCCAGGCCCCUGCCUCCCCGCGCGGGACUCUCUCCGCUGCAGGAAGUGGGGACGGGGGCAGGGUUUGGAGGAGGGUGAAGCGCCGACGUCAAUGGCUGGGGAUUGAGCUUUUCCGAGAGCCCUGGAGGCUGUGAGACAGAAACCCCACAGAGGGAAGCUGGGGCGGCUCUGUGACAACAGACUCCUGAGGUGCUGUGGAGAAAACAGUGCGGUUGUGAUGAGGAAAGAGGACUGUGAAAGUGAAAUUUGCAAUUUGUGAGGGGGAAACUGAGAAUGUGUUCUCCGUCCCAUGCAAAUUAUCUGUGGCCUUCUGUCCUGCACCUGCAGCAGCUCACAACACUCACAACACACAACCCCGGGAUCCGACGGCCUGGUUCCCACGGUCCAUGCUCCGGAGAACGGGAGCAGGAAAGGCCUCGCUCAUCCGGGAGGGACAUGCAGGAAUGUCCCCGCUCCAUCUGUAGGACCUCUGCUGGGCUGAGAGGGGGCCCCCUUUGCACCUGGCUGAGGUGACCCCGUUCGUUCCGGCCGACCCUCCGAGGGACAGCACUCAGGGCCUGCCCUGUCAACUCUAGAUGUCCUGUCCUGCUCCUCUCCUGCCACUCCCAGUUUUGCUCCAGCCCCGGGCGACCCCACAUUUCCACUCCUGUGAGAGUCUGCUCGGCCUGUGUCUCCUGCUGGAAAGGGCUCCUUCCUCCGCUUCCCCAGCCAUGUCAGCCUGGUCACGGGUUCUCUGGGCAACCUUCCCUUCUGCUCCAGGCUUCAUCUGUGUCCCAAGCUCCGCGGCUUCCUCAUCCCAGCCCGUCUCUGCUGGAUUCUGGUGUCUGUUUUCACUCUCUCUCCCGCGGUAGAGUGGGAGCCCCUCGAGGGCAGGUACUGUGUCAGAUUCAUCUUUGUAUCCCAAAAUCCAAGCACCUUGCUCGACCUCCAUUCGAGGCCGGGGAGCAAACAUCCCGUGUGCGUGCUGCCGCCGUCCAGUCAGAGCCCAGGGCAGACGCUGCUGAUCAGUCCUGGCGGCCUUGCCCCUGGUGCUCAGACGGCUCCACCCGCAGCACGGGGGUCCAGGUAGGCACCGCCUGGCAACCAAGACUGGCUCUCCCGAUGACACUAGUGACUGUCCCUGGGAUGGUGCUUAAUGAAUGUGUGACUCACGUCUCAGCUGGGGGCUGCUGGCCCCUCAGAGAUGUGGCUCCAAGCCCAUGAUCUGUGCUCUCCGUGGUUGCUGAGAGGCCAGGCUGACUUCCUCACGCUGCCUCGGCCUCCGUCCUGAAGCAGUCCAGGCAGGAAGCACAGACCCCUCCUCAGUCCACACACACACACACGUACACACAUGUGCUCACACCUAUAUACGUAGUCACACCCCCAUGCUCACACUUACGUCUCACGCAUGCACACAGUUACACACACCAAUACACUCCCAUUAAACAUUUCAUGCGUGUCAGGAACUUCGCUGGCUAUUUUGGGAGACGUUACAUCACACAGAGCACAGCUUCCCACUGUCCCAGCGGGUCCCUCCACACGCUCUCUCUGUUCCUCCCCAUCUCUCCCCUCGUUCCUCCAGAAUUGCCCCACCCCAGUGCCCAAUUGUUGUCCCUGUGUCUUGUAGAGCCGUUCUGCUACCCGCUCUGGAGUGGGGACAGUCUACACGUGUACCUGCAGAUUCCAACUCACCAGGUAGAGUCUCUCCCAAAGAGUCAUUUGAAUCACACAUUUCUCCCUCUUGUUUCAAAUAUUGUUAUGAAUUAAUGGAUGGCAGUAACAAAGGACAUUUGUCUACCGCUCUCCAUUUCCCAUCCCAAACAGACACAACUCAAUGGCAACACCGUCUUUAGGCGGUUACUUGGUGCCCGGCCCAGUGCCAGCAUUGCACAUCAGAGGUGGUACUGCCCCCAAAGUGCUCCCAGCCUACUGGCAAGAACAGAUGCACAAACAAGUAGAGAGGAGUGAAGCCACAAUCUGUGCCAUCCCUGGGGCAGAGGAGCAACUUAACUGCUGUGCUGUGAAGGACGAGCAAAUUCCAGGCCUCAAAAGAGAAUUCACGAUCUGACUCUCCCACAAACACACAGCAGAGGCGGCCAUUUUCCGGCUGCUGUGACGGCAGAUCAGUUUCACCUGUACUUGAACUUUGUCUGAAUGGAUCAUCCAGUAUAAACUCCUUUGUGUCUGGCAUCGUUGGCUCAAGGUGUCUAUGAUAUUCAUCCGUGGGUAGAGUCUUUUCAAGCUUUGUUUCAAACAUUGAGAGUUGGGGCACUGAACUCGCAGAGGCCCAGACUUACCAGUCUCUUACUCACCCACCACAGAAGUGGGGCCUCAGGAAAAGGAGCGUUUACCGUCUUCUUUUAGAAGCUUACCCCGAACAUAAGCCUCAAGGACCACGACGUGGAGCGAGACCCCCACCCGCACUGAGCAGCGAGUCUCACUGCAGUACCCAACUCGAGAGAAGCGAUUAAACCCAGGGUGGAUUUUCUAUGCCCAGUGGUUUUCCAUUUUGUGUUUUAAUUUUUACUUUAAGGACUUAAUUUUAACAAAAGAGCCAAAUUACCACCAUGCUUUAAAAUGAACUUGUCUACAGGAGUUAAAAACAGGCUUUAGACUGUGAAGCUUUAAUUAACUUUGGAAGAUGGUAAUUAAACAGCCCCUGUGCCCGUCUCAAGCUUUGCAAAGGCAAGGAAGGGAGGCCAGAGUCUGGAGUUCUCACCUGGGCAGAACACUGGAGGCCCCUGAGAAGCUUCCACGUUCCCCAUGCCCAGGCCACACCCUUGACCAAUGACGUCAGAACCUGUAGGGUUGGCAUGCAGACACUAGGAUAGUUUUUUAAGCUCUCAGGCCAUUCCAGCACGCAUCAGAGGUUGAGAAUCUCUAGACCGAUUGGCAGCUGUCGAUGGUGGUGGGCUGAGAGAUGGGGAAGAUGGAAAUGGGUGAGGCUGAGAGACACAGAGAGGUCUUCACACCAAGUUACAUCUCAGCUUUGGAAAAAACCAGGGGCCCACAACCAAGCCAGGUGGCACCAAGAGACAUUUCCAACCUCUAAGGAAGUUAUGGGCUGAACUUUGUUCCCCAAAAUUCAUGUGUUGAAGCCCCACCCUGGGUACCUCAGAAUGUGACUGUAUUUGGAGAUGGGCCCUUUAAAGAGGUGAUUUCGGUAGAAUGAGGCCGUUAGGAGGAACUUAAUGCAAUCUGACUGGUGUGCUUGUAGGAAGAGGAGAUUCAGGCAGACAGAGACACUGGGCGCAGGCACAGAGGGAAGGGCCUGUGGAGGGGAAGCGAGAGGCGGCCAUCUGCAGGCCCAGGAGAGAGGCCUCAGGAGAACCCACCCCAGCACCUUGAUCUUGGGCUUCCAGCCUCUGGGACGGUGAGAAAAUAAAGGCGUGCUGUUGAGCCCCCGUCCGGUGUUUGUGUGGCACCAGGAGCCGAAUAAGACAAGUUCCACUUCAGCUCUGUGGCCACGUGUGUGAAGAGUCCCCCAGGGGCCACUCUUCUGGUGCAGCGUCUCCACUCACAGGACUCUGCCCUAAGAGUUACCCAGGAACACCCUUAGAGAAUUAUCUACAGGACGUCCACAGAACAUUCUUUACAAUUGUGGAUAAGGGUGAUGUUCAACGACAGGAGACGGAGAGAUGUACUGCUCUUCACAGACGUAUCAUUAAAUGGACACAUACCACAUUUAAAUGGUUUAAAAUUUUCUCUAAUAACACUUACGUGAACAACUUGGUGGAGCCUUCAUCUUUGAGGUCAAGAAAAGCAGUGCGUCCCACGCUUAAUCCAAAGCCUGAGUUAAGAGAGAAGAAGUGCUCCCGAGGCCCCGCACAAGCAGCACCAGCUGUGCGCCUUCCUAAGCUCCUCAUCUGACUGAAUUCAGACGUACCCAACGGGGAUUCUCAGAGCAAGUCCUGGCUGUUGAAAUCACCUUCAAGGGUCCCUUUUGAGCUCUGGGCCUCAGUUGCCCUAUCUACAAAGCUAGAGGAUUGAAUUAAAUGGUUGGGGAGUUGGACUAGAACAGUGUUUCUCAAUUGAUGUCGCUCGGGUCUAAAAGCCAAAAGGAGGCCAGCGGCAUCUUUCUUCCAUGUAUUUUAAAUACAUGAGAGACCUACCUGUACUGUUCUUCUUGCCCUGCAGUGAUCCACCUUUGAGAAAUGGUGCCAUGUGCAGAGCAAAGGGGCAGCGAGAGAGGUGCUCAGAUGGCACGUGUGAGGGUGACGCUGGGUAUGUGUUUCCAGGCCAGGCAGCCAUCACAAGGCGGCCGAUGGUUGCUAGUUUCCGCUCCGUGCCUUGUCUUGUAAUCUCAACAUGUAUUUGUGACCUUGCUCCAUAUUCAUUGUCUGUUAAAUGCACUACAAAAUUUAAUUCCCAUGGUUUGUGGCUGAGUGAAGGAGCUUUUAAAAGAAAGGUGUGUGUAUCCUAGCUCAUGAGCUCAUUUUUUUAGGAGUUUAUUUUUUCAGAGAAGUUUUAGAUUCACAGCAAAAUUGAGAGGAAGGUACAGAGAUUUCCCACAUACCCCCUCCCCGACACAUGCACAGCUUCCCUCACUGUCAACAUCCUGUACCAGAAGGGUACAUUUUUAACCAAGGAGGAGCCCACAUUGACACGUCAUGAUCACCCAGACUCCACAGUUCACCUUAGGGUUCACUGCAGGUGUGGUGCAUUCUGUGGGUUUGGACAAAUGUCUAAUGACAUGUACCCAUCAUUAUAAUAUCAUGCAGAGUUCUUUUUCUGCCUUCAAAAUCCUCUGCCCUCCACCUAUUCAUUCUCCUUGCCACCCUCCCCCAACAACCACUGAUCUCUUCACUGUGUCCAUGGUUUUGCCUUUUCCAGAAUGUCAGACAGUUGGAAUCACACACUAGGAGCCUUUCAGACUGGCUUCUUUCGCUUAGUAACACGCAUUCAAGCUUCCUCCAUGUCUUUUGAUGGCUUGACAGCUCAUUGCUUCUAUUGCUGAGUAAUAUUCCAUUGUCUCGAUGGACCACAGUUUGUUUAUCCAUCUACCUGUUGAAGGAUGUCUUGGUUGCUUCUAAGUUUUGACAAUUAUGAAUAAAGCUGCUAUAAACAUC